RNAcentral lists this ribosomal RNA (330 nucleotides) under uncultured eukaryote. RNAcentral's name for it is "partial 18S ribosomal RNA". It matches the Rfam family "Eukaryotic small subunit ribosomal RNA", at positions 1470 to 1796 of the family's 1831-position model. The record is from RNAcentral.
CCCUUAGAUGUCCGGGGCUGCACGCGCGCUACACUGAAUGAAUCAGCGUGCUAGAAAACCUUGUUUGACAUGGCUAGGUAACCCAUUGAAAAUCAUUCGUGAUUGGGAUCGGGACUUGCAAAUGUGUCCCUUGAACGAGGAAUUCCCAGUAAGUGCGGGUCAUCAGCUCGCGUUGAUUACGUCCCUGCCCUUUGUACACACCGCCCGUCGCUGCCCGGAACUGAGCCGUUUCGAGAAGACUGAGGAUUGCCGUCUUGAGGCCUUCACGGGCUUCUAGUCGGUGAAAAUCAAUUUAAUCGCAGCGGCUUGAACCGGGCAAAAGUCGUAACA